RNAcentral lists this ribosomal RNA (562 nucleotides) under uncultured bacterium. RNAcentral describes it as "bacterial SSU rRNA". It matches the Rfam family "Bacterial small subunit ribosomal RNA", at positions 338 to 916 of the family's 1533-position model. The record is from RNAcentral.
CCUACGGGAGGCAGCAGUGGGGAAUAUUGGACAAUGGGCGAAAGCCUGAUCCAGCAAUGCCGCGUGAGUGAUGAAGGCCUUAGGGUCGUAAAGCUCUUUUACCAGGGAUGAUAAUGACAGUACCUGGAGAAUAAGCUCCGGCUAACUCCGUGCCAGCAGCCGCGGUAAUACGGAGGGAGCUAGCGUUGUUCGGAAUUACUGGGCGUAAAGCGUGCGUAGGCGGUUAUUCAAGUCAGAGGUGAAAGCCCGGGGCUCAACCCCGGAACGGCCUUUGAAACUAGAUAACUAGAAUCUUGGAGAGGUCAGUGGAAUUCCGAGUGUAGAGGUGAAAUUCGUAGAUAUUCGGAAGAACACCAGUGGCGAAGGCGACUGACUGGACAAGUAUUGACGCUGAGGUACGAAAGCGUGGGGAGCAAACAGGAUUAGAUACCCUGGUAGUCCACGCCGUAAACGAUGAUAACUAGCUGUCCGGACACUUGGUGUUUGGGUGGCGCAGCUAACGCAUUAAGUUAUCCGCCUGGGGAGUACGGUCGCAAGAUUAAAACUCAAAAUGAAUUGACGG